ACCAAACAAGGAAAGAUAUAUUAAAUAUUUGAUUCAAAAAGUACAAGCACUAAGGAAUACGAUAUAUUUUGCUUGAUUUAUUUCCGAAUCAUAUUUACUUAUUCCUCUUUGGUUUGAAUUAUUGAUUAUUUUACAUCAACACAAGCAAAAUCACUCUAUCAUCAAACCAAGUUACGGGCUAGAGUAGCACACAACUCCCAUAGAUUUUUCAGUGGCUUUUAUUAUUGAAGGGUCUCCCAGGAUAAUGUAGAUUGUGGAAGUGGCUUGGUCCUGAAGGUGGGAUUAUGCCUUUUGCUAGGGGGAAAUUGGAACUUUUACCUGAAUCCAUUAGCAUCACAGAAGCUCCUUUUUUGUUAUUUUCUUGCUCCAUAGACUGAAAAUUUGGUCGAGUUGCACACACACAGUUAUCGUUUGCUAAUAACAUCAGAAAGAAUAUGAGAGCACAGAGAAAAUGAGUUUUGGCACCUAAGAUACCCAUAAUUUCUUGAUGUUUGGUAAAAAAGAGUUCUUUGGUUCAACUGUUCAAGACACAAUUAUGACUAUUGACAUGAAAACAUUCUUUAUAUAUGUAGUUCUAA
RNAcentral lists this long non-coding RNA (578 nucleotides) under Glycine max (soybean). RNAcentral describes it as "long non-coding RNA (GMAX_LNC000303)". The record is from RNAcentral. Lineage: Eukaryota; Viridiplantae; Streptophyta; Magnoliopsida; Fabales; Fabaceae.